GUGGUGGAAACUUCUUUUUCUUUCCCUCUCACUUGGUUUAUUCAUAGGCAGAAAAGGAGCCACUGUCCUCAUCAUUCCUGAUUGUUUCUAACCUACAAAUGCCUCCCACUUUCCCCAUGUUCGGAGGAAUGUGGUCAUUUGUCAAGCUGCCCUGCUGUGGCCUAUUCCCAGCCACUGCUGCCUGGGAAGGAGGAAGACAGCACUUUACAGAAUCAGAGGAGAGGAAGUGCCUUGACACACGCCUGAAGUGAAGGCACAGAUAAUUCGGGACAUGACUCUUGGUUAGUUCGAAGCUGGAAGAACAGGCACACAGAGGCCACAGUAUCAGGCCAUCAGUAUUUCCACCAUCAUCAUCUCCAACAUUGCCAACAGCGUCAUCAUAACCAUCGCUAUCAUGACCCCCACCACCAUGACCAUCACCAUCAUCGCCAUCACCAUCAUCCUCAUGACCAUCAUCAACCAUCACCAAUCACCAUCAUCAUCAUGAAGGAUAACAAUUUUGAGCAUGACAUUAGGUUUUAUAUUAAACUUGCUACAUGGCCUAUCUUAUUAAAUCUUUCUGAAAUACCUAGAAGAUGAAAAAUAUCUUGCUCUGUGUUUCCAUUUCAUAGAUGAUGAAGCUAAAGUUCAUCUAGGCCAGGUGACUUCCCCACAUUUCCCAGGUAAGAAAGACGGGAGCCAACCCCUUCUACUGUGUGAUACUGCCCCACCCCACGAAAAGC
This 722-nucleotide long non-coding RNA is filed under the name Fukomys damarensis (Damara mole-rat). RNAcentral's name for it is "lncRNA (ENSFDAG00000029355.1)". Lineage: Eukaryota; Metazoa; Chordata; Mammalia; Rodentia; Bathyergidae. The record is from RNAcentral.